GCCAGCGGUAGAGUGACGUCACAGAGCUGCGCCGCGCUCCUGCAUACGCUGCGAUUCGGAUUAAAAGAAGAGUCCAAACACAGAGAAAAGCAGCCGGUUAUAAAGAUGGUGUUUAUUAAAGAGGAGAGUGAAGACAUGAAGAUUGAAGAAACAUUCACAGUCAAACAUGAAGAGAUUGAAGACGCUUUCAGAGUCAAACAUGAAGAUCCUGAGGAACAAACAGACCCAAUGCCAUUCAAAGAGGAGAGUCAAGAUCAGAAUGAAAUAGAAAAGAAGGAUCUUUAUGAAGGAUGUCGUGACUUGAACCAGGACAGACGAAAACCUCUCCCCAAAAAAAAAAGCCCAGAAAGCCAAACCCUAUACCUGCCAUCAGUGUGGAAAAAGUUUCACGCGGAAAAAAAUUGUUACAGACCACAUGAGGCUUCACACUGGAGAAAAGUUUUACGAUUGUCAACACUGUGAGAAGAGUUUCGCUUGGGAACAAAACUUUAAGCACCACAUGAGGAUUCACACUGGAAGAAAACCUUACAGUUGCCAACUGUGUGGAAAGAGUUUCACUUGGAAACAAAACCUUACAGAGCAUGUGAUGAUUCACACUGGAGAAAGGCCUCACAACUGCCAUCAGUGUGGAAAGAGCUUUAUUCGGAAACAAAAGCUUGCAGAACAUAUGAAGGUUCACACUGGAGAAAAGCCUUACACAUGUCAACACUGUGGAAAGUCUUUCUCUAUUAAGGGGAACCAUAGAAGACAUGAGUUAUGUCACACUAAAACAAGCCUUACUCCUGACAAGAGUGUGGAAAAAGUUUAAGACAGGGAUCAACAAACUUGUUACUGGAGGGCCGGUGUCCUGCAGAGUUUAGCGCCAACCCUAAUCUAACACAGCUGAACAAGCCUUAUCAAGGUCUUACUAAGUACACUUGAAACUUCCAAGCAGGUGUGUUGAGGGAAGUUCGGAGCUAAACUGCAGGGACACCGGCUCUUCUAAACAAUUACUUGAUUCCCAUGAGAUGCUUGAAGUAACUUAACAAUGCAGACAACGAUAGUUGAGUCGACACCUGGGCCCGGUUUUUUAAAAGGUUUAAUCUUAAUAAAAUUGAUCCAGAUUUAGUAAUCCGUUUUUUGCAAUCUGUGAUCACGUAAUCCAGCUUACUUUUUGAGCCAGUUUUUCAAAGCAACAUCGGAUUGGAUCACUCUGAUCCGGAUAGGAACUUUUCAGGAUUACUAAAUCUGGAUAACCAGUGCACAAACAGGGUAGGAAAUCAUAAUGUAGAACUAUAGAUGUUAGGGUUGGGCUGAUAGACGAUGCCAUUGUCCAUAGCCGAUGGCCAAUAGAGAACACGAUGCUGAGCUGCAAACCCGCUCGCGAAAAAAACACACUUAUGCCCUGUUUACACUAAUACGUCUUAGUUUUAAAAUGGCAUUUUAGAGCGAAAAUUAUCCACAUCUACACUGUGUUUUACCUAGUUUUCAGCGGACGGAGGGCUGUUUAGAAAUGCUAGGUAAAACACAGUGUGUGUUUUACCUAGCAUUUCUGAACAGCCCUUCGUCCGCUGAAAACGCAGAUCACGUGACCACACACACAGCCACACACACAUUGUCAUGCGCUCAUCUGAGCUCCAGUGAGCAGUGCAUGUCGGACAGUUUAUCAAGGAUGUACCGCUGGAUCGCGUCUCACUAUA
Danio aesculapii is the source of this 1679-nucleotide long non-coding RNA. RefSeq lists it as uncharacterized. The record is from RefSeq and is a predicted model, not a curated record. NCBI's taxonomy places the organism in Eukaryota, Metazoa, Chordata, Actinopteri, Cypriniformes, Danionidae. The transcript is spliced from 3 exons.